This is a long non-coding RNA of Athene cunicularia (burrowing owl), 588 nucleotides long. RefSeq lists it as uncharacterized. The transcript has 3 exons. The record is from RefSeq and is a predicted model, not a curated record. Lineage: Eukaryota; Metazoa; Chordata; Aves; Strigiformes; Strigidae.
AGAAUGGCUACCGUGACCCAGUCCCUCUGUCGCUACUGGCAGUAGCCUAGCAGAUGCCUGGAAGGUGGCAAGUGCAUGGUGAUUCUUCCUUGAGAAGAUCUCCUUGUUCCAGGUACGUGGGGUACUGGGAGGCCCUGAAUCACAUGUGGUGGCUGGGAUAUUUUACAGGUGUAAGCUGUGAUUCUCCAUUGCUGGAAACCCUGCAAGGAUGUUCUACUGCAGAGAAGUAAAGACUGCAAGUUAGGACAUGCACUUUGAAAGCACCCCAGAAGCAGACCCACUUCAUGAAGCCUGGAUCUGUACUGCUGUCCCCAGGAUGGUCUGGAGCUGCUGAGUUUGAAGAAACAGCAAAAAAGCUGAAGUCCAUACCAGGAGAAAAACUCUUCUGUAUAGCAUGAUAACCCUGUCAGGAAACAGAAGACAAAAAGUCCUGCCUGAUUUAAAGCUGUGGAAAACCUUGAAUUCACAAGAAAUGGAAGGCUCACUGACAGUUUCAGAGAAACAAGAGGAUAAGCGUAGAACUGAUCUUCCAUCCACACGACGACACCUUAGAGGAUCUGAGAGAAAGUUGCAGUCAAAUCCACAUGC